UACCCCCGAUACUACCCAUAGAAAACAGAAUAUGUCAAAAACAGAAUAGUCUGUAGCAAUCUAUAAACUUCGAAUACUUCUGUAACUCCAAAAAUUCUGAAAAAUUAGGAAAACAGAGGCUAUUUGUAUAUUAAUCUUGUGCAAAAAGAAUCAGUAUUUUAUCUCGCUUCUAUGAAUUAUGUAUAUUAUUUUACUGGGCGCAAAAGUUUCUGUUUUUCAGCAAGAUCAAUUCAACUAUCACCGUAAGCCAUCCCAAAGGUCUUACUUGGCACAAACACUAAUUAAAACACCAAAACACAAUUACUACAGAGGUAAUAAUGUGUAUUUUAUUCAAGAACAGUAGCAAAACAAAAAACACAAAAAUAAAAUUGGGUUGCGUCCCAACAAGCGCUAUUUUUAAUGCCCCUAGUUAGGCAUAUUGCAAUAGAUCUAGGUAUUGUCAUCUUUGGUAUGCAAUCCAUAAGUAGCUCUCAUAAUAGAUUCAUAUGGAAACUUAAUCUUCUUUCUUGAAAAGUGUUCCAUGCCCUUCCUUAAUGGAAAUUGAAAUCUAAUGUUUCCUUCUUUCAUAUCAACUAGCUAUGUGACCCGCGCAUUUGCGCGGCUAGAUUUUCUAUAUGUUAUAUUUGUAUUAAGAUUUUGUAAUAUAAUUCACCGCUUUAUCGAUCAUUUGAAAUAUAUUACACUUCAUGUCUCAUCGGUUGGCGACCGAUUGUGUUAAAUCAUGGUUCAUAAUGGUCCCUAAAUUUCCCUCUUCUACUCUCCGUCAAUUUGUGUUAAUUUUCCUAUAAUUUCAUUCAUCGGUAUCUCGAAUAUACAUUUAGUGUUCGUCUUAUCUAUACACCGAUAAUAUUAUUAUAGUUUGUUUUUAUUUGGUACAACGACAUGCCUCUAAAUCUCUAUGUUGCAUGACGAUGGAUAUAUGGUAAUGCAGAAUCAAUAAUAUUGCCUCAAAUUGCGAGAAAUAAACAAUGUUGUCUUACUCCCAGUCGCACGCUUUACAUUAGGCAUUUUUCCUCAUACAAUUCCAUUGCAAAAUUUAGUUUUUCUUUCAAGAUUACUCCUAGACACCUGCCCCUAUUAGAAGAACAAUUCCCUCAAAUAACAUAAUAAUGUCAUAAAAAUAAUACACUGGGUCAAAAUAAAUAAUGAGGAUCAUCACCAUACGCCAACGCUGUUCAUGAUUCUUUCUAAUAGUGACUAAUUUUUUUUGCCAUAGCUUACAUUUCUUUACGAUAAAUAAAAUGCACUGCUGCAUAUUUUAGCUGAUCUAUUGCUAUGUUUCAAAAACAUUCUCUCCCUCAGCCCCUCUAAUCGAAGUUUGUUCUGUUUGUUUGUGCUCGUUUUUUAUAUUUCGUUGAUUGUCUACAAUAAUUGAUGUACCUACGUAAUCACGCUCCUAGGUGAUAUACUUGUUCAUUUUCUGAAGAAAAAAAAUUGUUCACGACUCCAUAUACUUAAAAAAACGUCCACUACUCCACUCCAUGCCCCUAAUCCAUCAGCCCAUUAUAAAAUUCAGUAGUACUAAACAGACACACGCUCUCAGAAAAUAGACACACAAUUUUUUAGCGUAGAUGCAAGUUGCAAGAAAAAAGUUACUGUACAAUAUUUCCUUUUGCUUUCACCCACGCCUCCCAGGUCACAAUAGGCCCAUUGGUCAACUUUCUUCCUGCCUGUACUCUCUAGAAGUCUCCAUAUCUCUUCCGUGAGAAGAUAAACAUAUCCCUUUCUCUGCUCUAUCGUUAUAGUCCCUCAAGCUGGCUGUACCAAAUCGAAUGGCAUGCUCCUACAUCACCAAAGCUGCGAAGGAGAUGCUCUUGGAGGUCAAGUCUGGCGGAAACGGGGAUGCGCGUUCGAGCCGCAGAUCUUGCGUCGCCUACCAGCAAGGCCGCAUUUCACUAUUUCUGCUUUGUAGAGACAGAUCGGUCGCUGGGUAGGCCACCGGAGAUUAUGAGGGGUGUUGCUAGCUGCUAGGUUCUCCGAGAGUGUUCUGCUCUCCUGUUCGUGGCUCUGGGACAGAGAGCUGUGUCGUUGGUUGAACGACCAUCUUCUCCGUAGCAUUCCACGUCUGAGGCGGAGCAGUAAGGACAGAGUCUGUAGGCAAAGGCGGGUUUUGGGCUUCCUCAUUGUUGGUGCCAUCGCCUUACACCCAUUAAUUUGCUACAACUUUGCAUCAUUUCUACUUCGUCGAGAGUGGCUUAUUCUUGACAUGUAAGUUUCCCCAUUCUAGGUAGUUUAAUAGUAUUCUUUUUUGUUGCUAACAUAUAUUAGCAAGUUAUAUUUACCUAUAUGUGUAUUUAGGACAAAGCAAGAAGGAUUCAAUGUAUUAACUGAAAUUUGGUUCAUAUAUCUUAAUCGAUAUGCAAUGGAUUUUUUGCCUAUGCUAUAGGCGAUGCCUGUAAUAUUGUAGUUUUUCCUCGCGAUCAUGGUUUCCUUGAACUAAACCGGACAUAGGCUAGAAUAGUUCUUACCAAGAAUAUAAAAUUCACCAAAAGUGCAUGUCUAAAUGUAUUUAAAAUAAUUAUAAUGUAAUAUGUUUUUCAUAGUGCUAACAUUUGACUUUUGUUAUCCGGUAAGUGUCCUCCUUAUAUUGAUGGAUGUCAAGUAUUCUUACUAUUAUCUUAGUAAACAUAAAUAGUUUGCCUUACUUUCAACAUAAUUAUUGUAUAAUUUUGGUGCUUCCCACCCAAUGAGUUCUGCAAUUUCGAGACCGAUAUAUUAAGAAUUUUUUCGGUCUCCUCGUAAAAUCAAGUGCAGCUUAUAGUAGUUGUACAGUAAUUAAUUUGGCAUCUUUUCAUUGCAAAGUAAACAUAAUCGAGAAGUUGCUGUUCAAAUUAGCAGAAUAUAUGCUUACCGAUGCGUUACAAUUUUUGUAUAUAUAUACCACAACUCUUGUCAAUUUCCUUUGUACCUGCUUUGUGAGAUCACCACAUGACAUAUACCACCAUCUUCUUGUAACAGAUAUAUUGUAGGUAGCUGAAAGUUCGCAAUCCUGAAAAAACAACCUCAAAACUCAAAGUUAGCAAUCUGAAGAAGUUGAGAGACAUAAAUAAAUCAAAUAUGGUCCAUUCUACCUGAUAUGACUCCAUUAUCACUCCAGGUUUUGGAGUCUCGUUUUCCUCGGAAGUGGUCAUAUCAUAUCUUAGAAGUCUGAUACAGUAACUGAUUUGUCUGAUUUUGUGCCUCAUUAUAGUAAUUUCUUGUAAUGUUCUUUUGUAAAACAUGUUUUCUUCUAGUGUUCCUUUCGUAGUUCUAUCUAUCUUGAUCAUUUGUGUUCAGUUUCUUCUGCACACAUAUGGAGUUAGUCAAAUAUAGUAAUAUUGGUUAACAAACAGAGUCACUAUUCAUUAGUUGAUAACUAAUAACUGAUAAAAGAUAUAGUUCCAUACCUGCCAAGAAGUUCAUGGGCUUCGAUUAUAUCUAGACCUAUAUAAUCUUGUGGAAUUGGUAAUCAAUGGUAAAUGUCUUAGGUAUUUUCCUUGUAAAUAACAAAAUAUAUUGUAACAUUACUGGAUUGAACUUCUGCACCAUCAAGGUCACAAUAGGGACAGUUUAGCUGUCGAUUAAAUCCCCAUUCAAAAAUAAGGAAACUUUGUCCAUAACGUAACUCCUAUUUUUAUCACCCCUAAAGAGUUCUUCUUUUAUUAUUGAUUCCACAUGCUUCAUUUGGGUGAUUAAUCCAAUCACAAUAAAUUUGGAGAUUAAUUGCUUCAUAGUUAGAAAGAUUAAUUAGAUAAGAGUCUUAAUUCAAAUUACAGAGUAUAGAGUAUAGACAUACCUGAGCAUUAUAUUUGUGGAAUUGGCAAUCAAUGGUAAAUGUAUUAGGUAUUUUCCCUGUAAAUAACAAAAUAUAUUGUAACAUUACUGGAUUGAACUUCUGCACCAUCAAGGUCACAAUAGAGACAGUUUAGCUGCCGAUUGAAUCCCCAUUCAAAAAAUAAGGAAACUUUGUCCAUAACGUAACUCCUAUUUUUAUCACCCCUAAAGAGUUCUUCUUUUAUUAUUGUUUCCACAUGCUUGAUUUGGGUGAUUAAUCCAAUCACAAUAAAUUUGGGGAUUAAUUGCUUCACAGUUACAAAGAUUAAUUAGAUAAGACUCUUAAUUCAAACUACAGAAUAUAGAGUAUAGAUAUACCUGAGCAUUGUUUAUUUUAUCUACAUGUUUUUGUACUUAAUCCAUACCAAUGAUUAUAAUUAUAAUUUAACCUCUACAGAUAGUAGCAUGGAUUUUUAAAUGUUGAUAGUAGCACGAACUCGGUUGGGCCCUUUCAAAACAAUAAAAUAUAAUUAGGGAUUGUUGUCCAAAGCAAUAGAGAAAUCUGUAAUAUGUAAUGCAUUUUUUUGUCCAUCAAAAGUAUAUUGAGGCUAAUAAGCUCAUCAGCAAUUGUCGUUAAGUCAUUAAGCUUCUUGUAUGCCAUAUUUUUUUGGGUUUAAUAGGAGUUGAAAACAACUGAUAAAGUACCUAUGAAGAUUUUAUGCUGAUAAGUGAAUUUAGUAAGAGUAGUACUUACUAACCUUGAUGAUUCAGGUUAGAGAUAACUCAGAAGGUUGGGCCUGACUUUGUCGGCACUCGAGCUGAACCUGGCAUUGAAGUUCGGCUAAUUUUCUUGUUGUCCAUCGUUGAAUCACUGGAUGUAUCACAUAAUCAGCAGACUUCGAUUUCGCUGGUGGCGCGUUGGUUCAUAGCAGAUUUGUCUGACUUUGAUUUUCCAAAAAAUAUUGAUCCUAAAUCUUGGGCUGCCUUGCGUGUGCUGGACAUGGCCGGUCGAGUGCCUUUAUAUUUGUCGUUGGCUUAGCGGAGUCCGUGUGGAGAUAUUUUUUCCAGAGGCGUCUGGGCUCUUCGCUGAUUAAUCUGUGUGGAGUUUUGCUUGCCUUAUUUGCACGCACCAGUUUGUGGUUGUGUCGGACACAUUGAUGGAGACGUGCUAGAUUUUUCUUUUUGAGGUUUGAAGACAUGCUAGAUGACAGACGUGUCAGGCAACUAUUUGUACCCAAUAAUAGUUAUAUGUAACUUUUGUAUAUUUUUAAAUCUCAGCCGUUGUUAUCAAAUAUUGACGGUGCACAUAAUUUGAUCUAUGUGGAUAAAUGUGACGGCUUCUUUUA
Aegilops tauschii subsp. strangulata is the source of this 5099-nucleotide long non-coding RNA. RefSeq lists it as uncharacterized. NCBI's taxonomy places the organism in Eukaryota, Viridiplantae, Streptophyta, Magnoliopsida, Poales, Poaceae. The record is from RefSeq and is a predicted model, not a curated record.